CCGGCGAGAGUGAUGGCC
Molecule: non-coding RNA, 18 nt
Filed under: Arabidopsis thaliana (thale cress)
Lineage: Eukaryota; Viridiplantae; Streptophyta; Magnoliopsida; Brassicales; Brassicaceae
Source: RNAcentral